This 72-nucleotide transfer RNA is filed under the name Candidatus Zhuqueibacterota bacterium. RNAcentral describes it as "candidate division KSB1 bacterium (activated sludge metagenome) tRNA-Gly". It matches the Rfam family "tRNA". From Rfam's summary of the family: Transfer RNA (tRNA) molecules are approximately 80 nucleotides in length. Their secondary structure includes four short double-helical elements and three loops (D, anti-codon, and T loops). Lineage: Bacteria; Pseudomonadati. RNAcentral also lists the same sequence under 2 other names. The record is from RNAcentral.
GCGAGAGUAGUUCAGUGGUAGAACACCACCUUGCCAAGGUGGGGGUCGCGAGUUCGAAUCUCGUCUCUCGCU